GUCUUUUAAUUGAAGACUUGUAUGAAUGAUUUGAUGAAAUAUAAACUGUCUCUUUAUUAAAAAUAGAAUUUAAUUUUUUAGUUAAAAAGCUAAAAUUUAUUUAAAAGACGAGAAGACCCUAUAGAGUUUUAUAUUUAAAAUUAUAUUAAUUUUGUAUAAAAUUUUUAUUUGAUAUUUUUUUAAAUAUUUUAUUGGGGUGAUAGAAAAAUUUAAUAAACUUUUUUUAAAAAAUUUACAUUAAUAUAUGAAAUUUUGAUCCAUAAUUUAUGAUUAAAAGAUUAAAUUACCUUAGGGAUAACAGCGUAAUUUUUUUUUUUAGUUCUUAUAAGAAAAAAAGUUUGCGACCUCGAUGUUGGAUUAAG
This 362-nucleotide ribosomal RNA is filed under the name Pieris chumbiensis gyantsensis. RNAcentral describes it as "partial large subunit ribosomal RNA". Lineage: Eukaryota; Metazoa; Arthropoda; Insecta; Lepidoptera; Pieridae. The record is from RNAcentral.